GCGCUUGCUUUGGUAGUGCAUAUAUUAAGAUUGGAAUGAUAUAAAGAUUAGCAUNGUCCCUGUGCAAGCAUGGCACACAGAUNUGUUAAGUGUUCCAUGUUUUU
RNAcentral lists this small nuclear RNA (104 nucleotides) under Neotoma lepida (desert woodrat). The record is from RNAcentral. Lineage: Eukaryota; Metazoa; Chordata; Mammalia; Rodentia; Cricetidae.